AUGUUUGAAAUAUCUGUUAUUUUAGCACUUUAUAUUAUUAAUUUGGGUCUUCUCUUCCUCUUUCCACCUCCCCUUCCCUUUGCUCUCUCUUUUAUGUGCACACACAUAGCCAAGCAUGUGGAGUGUGUGUGUGUGUGUGUGUGUGUGUGUGUGUGUGUGUGUUUCAUGUCUUGUCUUCAGAUGACUUUAUGGGUCACAAGAUAAUUCGAAACCCUCUGAAAACCUAAGAAUAUAAGGUUUCUGCAGUCAGUUGCCUGCUAGAUUGAUGUACCUUAUUCUGAUUUGGGUUAAGUAAAUCAUGCGCAAAAAGAAGAAAAAAGAAGAAGGGAAGAGUAAUGCACAUUUAUUUCAUGCCAACUACUCUUAGGCAUCGAUUAGAACAAUUUGGCAUGUGUUGUGUCUUAAACCUAAAAACCUUCCCAAGGGAGGUGUUAUGAUAUCCUUUUGUAGAUGAAGAAGCUGAGGACCAGGUGGAGUAUUUAAAAUCACAUGCAUUUUUAUUUCCAGCUUUCUUCUUCUCUCCACCAUUGACUAGGCCCUCAUCACCUGGAUUCUUGUCAUAAUCUCUGAAUUUGAGACACUUUCUCAACUGGAGCCCCUUAUUUGAACCACUGAACAAAGAACAUGAUUUGAAUGAUGAAUUUCACCAACGCUUCUAAGGAUGGAACAUAACUAGAACCAUUCUCAAUGCAGAAAAGGGAAACUCAUCCAAUAAUUAGAAUUCUUCUAGAAUUCUAGAUGCAGAAGACAUAAUUUUCUUCAUUGCAUGCAAUGGAUACCUUGGAGCUAAUUAUCUUCUGUUACAAAACUCCAGCUCUUCCAGAGGCUUCUAGAAUGAGGUUCCUGAGAACCGCUGGAUACCAGCCUAUUCCCUUCUGAAAAGUCUCCUUUUGACUUUCAUUGGCUUCCCUUGGUUAUGUGGGUCUCUUGCUAAAGCCUCCCCCUCAGAGACACUUUACUAAAGUAGAUCUUCUAUUCCCAUUAGUCUCUGGAUCCUAGUUAUUUCCUCCCCAGUAAUUAUUACAAAGAACACUUACGGUGUUUAUUUGUUUGCUUAUUUGUAAACGAUCUUCUCUCAUUGGCAGGUAAACUCCACAAAAGGCAGAGGCUUGUCUUUCUUGUUUACCACUGGAUCGCCAGCAUUGACAUCAUGAGUGGAUAGUAUGUUCUCAGUAAAUUUCAAUGGGAUUGAGUAAGUAUCAAUUAAUCAUACGAUUUAUCAAGUCCCAGUAAGAACUUUGCACAUAUAAAAUAAAAUAGUUAUGUAUAACCCUCCUCCUACACACACACAAACACACACACACACACACACCCCAGAAACAUCCAUGUUUUGGUUUUUCUCUGUUUUUCCUUAACUUCCUGAACUUAGCAUGCCGUGAAACUGCUCUUCCCAACAAGCAGGAUCAUUAAAUAUUCAGCCCAGUUUAUCUUUGCCUGCUCAGAUCACGUUAGCCUGAAGGCCUCAGCACAGUCUUGUGGGAAGAACAGGGAUCUCCUGGAUGAAUGGCAGGAAGCCC
RNAcentral lists this long non-coding RNA (1517 nucleotides) under Papio anubis (olive baboon). RNAcentral's name for it is "lncRNA (ENSPANG00000040946.1)". Lineage: Eukaryota; Metazoa; Chordata; Mammalia; Primates; Cercopithecidae. The record is from RNAcentral.